AUUUAGACUCAUUGAGCAGGGGGCAUCAAAGAAGAUCCUUUAGGUGGAAGAAACAGCCUGAAACCUGAAAGAUGAGGAGGUAAUAUGGCACAUUUGAAAGAGUGCCAUAGAUGUGUGCUAUGGGUGUAAGGGUAUAGCUCACAUGCAGAGAGAAUAAUAUGUGUGAAGCCUCAGAAGAAAGACAGUGAAUGGCUUUCAAAAAACUAAAAGAGGUUCAGUGUGACCAGAAUACAGAGUUUGAGGAUCUUUCAGUUAUCUAUUGUUAUCCAACAACACACCUCAAAAUGCAGUGGCUUUGAAAUACAAAAGGCUGAUUUGCAUCAAGUAACUGAUAAUUUUGCAUCAGAAAGCACAGAGACUAGAGGAUAGUGGAAUGACAUCCUUAAAGCACUGAAAGAAAAAAAAACUAUCAACCCAGAAUUUAGUAUCCAUCAAAAAUAUCCUUCAGGAAUGAGAAACAAAAAUGAAACCUUUCUCGGGUGAAAGAAAAAUGGAGAGAAUUUGUCACCAGCGGACCUGCUCUAAAAUAAAUGCUAAAAGAAGUUAUUCAGGAUGGAAGAAAAUUAUACCAGAUACUAAAGACUUCAGGAAUGAAGAAAGAGCAACAGAAAUGGCAAAUAGCUGGGCAAAAAUGGACUGUUUGGUGUUGGAGGCUGAGCAGAGGUGGGCAAAAAGGAACAGAAGGAGAGUAACUGGUGAAGAAGGAGCAAAGAGUGAGGCACAAAAUGAAGUCUCACCAUGUUGCCCAAGCUGGUCUCAAACUCUUGGCCUCCAGAAAUCCUCCAACUUCAGCCUCCCAAGGUGCUGGGAUUACAGGUAAUAGCCACUGUGCCCAGUUAAGGUGCAACUUCUUUAUGGAGCUUUUCUUUACUUCUCCAAGCAAAAUUAGUUGCUCCCUUCUCUAUGUUCUCUGUACAUUUUAGUUUGUACCAUAUAAAAUUGCCUCUAUGUAACCAUUUUUGACCUACAAAUCUGGCAAUUUUAUAUCAUUUAGCCAAAUAUCUCCUUAUCCCAUUGUAUUACAUUUUGGGUUGGCAUGUGUCUAUCCUCUCUCCAUUCCACCCCCCAGAAUGUAAGUUCCAUGACAGUUAACAGUAAGAGCUGACUUUCUGUGUGCUUCCUAGGAGGCCAGGACUGUUCUACACACUUGAAGUAAAUUAACUCUUUUAAUUCUUAGAGCAAUGGUGUAAUGAUGAUACUUUUCUAUGCAUAGUACCACUAGAUAAGUGAGGAAGCUGAGGCACACAGAAGCUGUAUUUGUCAAGGUUCUCCAGAAGGACAGAACUAGUCAGAUAUAUGUCUAUAUUAAAGGGAGUUUAUUAGGGAGAAUUGGCUCACACAGUCAAAGGUGAAGUUCCACACAAUAGCCACCUGCAAGCUGAGGAAGAAAGAAGCCAGUAGUGGCUCAGUUUGAGUUCAAAAGCCUCAAAAGCAGGAAAGCCUACAGUGCAACCUUCAGUCUGUGGCAAGGCCUGAGAGCCCCAGCAAACCACUGGUGUAAGUAGUCCAAGGGUCCAAAGGCCAAAAAACCUGGAGUCUGAUGUCCAAGAGCAAGAGGAACAGAUGGAAGCAUCCAGCACAGGAGAAAGAUGAAAGCCAGAAGACCCAGCAAGACAGCUUAUCCCACCUCCUUCCACCUGCUUUAUUCUAGCCACGCUGGCAGCUGAUUGGGUGGUGCCCACUCACAUUGAGGGUGGGUCCAGUCCACUGACUCACAUGUCAAUCUCCUCUGGCAACAUUCUCACAGACGCACCCAGAAACAACACCUUACCGGCUAUCUAGACAUCCUGCAAUCCAAUCAAGCUGACACCCAGUAUUAAUCAUCACAGAAUCUAAGUAACUUGCCCAGCCUCACAAAACUUGACAGAGCUUGGAUUUGAGCCUAGGUUAUCUGUCUUUAAGGUCCAGAGACUUAACCAUUUCUCUAAAAUCCUUCUAUUACUAUUCUGUCUGGUUGUGUUUUGUUCACCACUGUAUUCCCAGGGCUAGCACAAGGCUAGGGACCUACUAGGUGCUUAGUAAAGAGGUGAAUUAAAUGAUUUUGUACCAGUCACAUUUACUGAGCACCUACUCUGUGCUCCCAGAUGUUGUGGUGGUAGGCACCAAGAAAAAUAAGGCCCAGUCCCCACCUUUAUGGAGAUGGUGGCCAAGCAGGGGCCCCUGGAAACAGUGUAGCAUUUACAUUGAGGAGGCUGAACGUCAGAGGUGAGGAGAACUAUGGAUGGCCUGUUGUGUACCUGGAGGUAGAACAGGUGAUGGAGAAGUCCUGAGAAAGAGAAGGGUAGAAUUAUCCAUGUGAAGGAGGGUCCAGGUUCAAUGCAGAUGUGUUCUAGACAGAUGGAGCAGCUUAUGCAAA
RNAcentral lists this long non-coding RNA (2356 nucleotides) under Homo sapiens (human). RNAcentral describes it as "HSALNT0194096". The record is from RNAcentral. Lineage: Eukaryota; Metazoa; Chordata; Mammalia; Primates; Hominidae.